UGUAUAUUCAUGAUUCUUUACAUUACUUGCAUCAUUUCUUUUUACAUCACAUUUGCUCCAAAUAAACAUUACAUUCUUUUCUUUCUUUGCUUUAUACAUCAACAUCUUAAAUCAUCAAAUCCAACCUGGCCCACGUGAUGUAUAGACCCGCCACAAAUACAAAGUUCCUCUGUCCACUCGGGCAGAGUCUCCUUUGUAUUUGCACGGCGUACCAACGGAUACAACAGGAUCUCAACCACAACCUAUAUUUACCAAAUAACA
RNAcentral lists this long non-coding RNA (261 nucleotides) under Ananas comosus (pineapple). Its description in RNAcentral is "long non-coding RNA (ACOM_LNC000912)". Lineage: Eukaryota; Viridiplantae; Streptophyta; Magnoliopsida; Poales; Bromeliaceae. The record is from RNAcentral.